Eupeodes corollae is the source of this 567-nucleotide RNA transcript. RefSeq lists it as uncharacterized. The transcript has 3 exons. Lineage: Eukaryota; Metazoa; Arthropoda; Insecta; Diptera; Syrphidae. The record is from RefSeq and is a predicted model, not a curated record.
CUUCUGUCAAACCUAUACGUUAAAAAACUUUUUAACGCUCUGAACAGCAAUGGAAUCUUUUGGCUUUGCUUUUGUUUUCGAUGUUUUUUUUGUUUGUUUUUAAAUUUUUACAAUAGUAGCAAUUGUCAUUGCGGUAUUAACGUGGCCCACAGAAUCAGCAGAAGUGUGUCGCAUUAAAUGUCCCCAAGGUGAAUCAGUGAACAUAUGUGGAAGAUUUGAUAAUAUUUGUAAACGUUUUGCAAACGAUUGUGGUCUUCAAUUAGCCAAUUGUGUAAAUGAAAAUGCCUAUUCGCAGGUUGAUCUUUCUCAGUGUCGUUAUAUUGAUUUGAAUACUCAUCGAAUUUGUAAUACUGGAAUAUUACCAAUUGGUACUGGUUUUAGACAUUAUGAUACAAUUCUUAAUCGUGCAACUAAAAAACCAUUACCGAGGAUUAUAAGAGUUUAAGAAUGGAAAUAAAAAUAUAAAAAAUGAGAAACCAAUUCUCUAAACAAAACAAGCUAGUUAAGCCUUCAAUUGCCUUAAUAAAGCCUCGAAACAACUAUUAACACAAUUGUUUUUCAAAUGUU